This 370-nucleotide ribosomal RNA is filed under the name uncultured bacterium. RNAcentral's name for it is "bacterial SSU rRNA". It matches the Rfam family "Bacterial small subunit ribosomal RNA", at positions 29 to 404 of the family's 1533-position model. The record is from RNAcentral.
AUUGAACGCUGGCGGCAUGCCUAACACAUGCAAGUCGCACGCGAAAGGGGGCAACCCCGAGUAGAGUGGCGGACGGGUGCGUAAUACGUAGGAAUCUACCUGAUAGUGGGGGACAACCCGGCGAAAGCCGGGCUAAUACCGCAUACGACCUAUGGGUGAAAGCCGGGGACCGCAAGGCCUGGCGCUAUUAGAUGAGCCUGCGUCGGAUUAGCUAGUUGGUGAGGUAAAGGCUACCAAGGCGACGAUCCGUAGCUGGUCUGAGAGGACGACCAGCCACACUGGGACUGAGACACGGCCCAGACUCCUACGGGAGGCAGCAGUGGGGAAUAUUGGACAAUGGGGGCAACCCUGAUCCAGCAAUGCCGCGUGU